Molecule: unclassified non-coding RNA, 320 nt
Filed under: plant metagenome
Description: partial contains 5.8S ribosomal RNA, internal transcribed spacer 2, and large subunit ribosomal RNA
Rfam family: 5.8S ribosomal RNA (bases 1-105)
Source: RNAcentral
GAAAUGCGAUAAGUAAUGUGAAUUGCAGAAUUCAGUGAAUCAUCGAAUCUUUGAACGCACAUUGCGCCCGCCAGUAUUCUGGCGGGCAUGCCUGUUCGAGCGUCAUUACAACCCUCAGGCCCCCGGGCCUGGCGUUGGGGAUCGGCGGAAGCCCCCUGCGGGCACAACGCCGUCCCCCAAAUACAGUGGCGGUCCCGCCGCAGCUUCCAUUGCGUAGUAGCUAACACCUCGCAACUGGAGAGCGGCGCGGCCACGCCGUAAAACACCCAACUUCUGAAUGUUGACCUCGAAUCGGGUAGGAAUACCCGCUGAACUUAAGC